CACGCAGGCGGUCGUGUAAGUUUGGGGUUACAGCUCCCGGCUCAACUGGGAGAGCGCCUUGAAGACUGCAGGACUUGAGGGCCAGAGAGGGACACAGAAUUCCGGGUGUAGUGGUGAAAUGCGUAGAUAUCCGGAGGAAUACCAAAGGCGAAGGCAGUGUCCUGGCUGGUGACUGACGCUGAGGUGCGAAAGCUAGGGGAGCGAACGGGAUUAGAUACCCCGGUAGCCCUAGCCGUAAACGAUGACCACUAGGUGUGGGAGGUAUCGACCCCUUCCGUGCCGUAGCUAACGUGAUAAGUGGUCCGCCUGGGGAGUACGGUCGCAAGAUUAAA
Molecule: ribosomal RNA, 332 nt
Filed under: uncultured bacterium
Lineage: Bacteria
Description: bacterial SSU rRNA
Rfam family: Bacterial small subunit ribosomal RNA
Source: RNAcentral